RNAcentral lists this ribosomal RNA (490 nucleotides) under uncultured bacterium. RNAcentral describes it as "bacterial SSU rRNA". It matches the Rfam family "Bacterial small subunit ribosomal RNA", at positions 29 to 507 of the family's 1533-position model. The record is from RNAcentral.
AUGAACGCUAGCGACAGGCUUAACACAUGCAAGUCGAGGGGCAGCAUGGUCUUAGCUUGCUAAGACUGAUGGCGACCGGCGCACGGGUGAGUAACACGUAUCCAACCUGCCGUCUACUCUUGGACAGCCUUCUGAAAAGGAAGAUUAAUACAAGAUGGCAUCAUGAGUCCGCAUGUUCACAUGAUUAAAGGUAUUCCGGUAGACGAUGGGGAUGCGUUCCAUUAGAUAGUAGGCGGGGUAACGGCCCACCUAGUCUUCGAUGGAUAGGGGUUCUGAGAGGAAGGUCCCCCACAUUGGAACUGAGACACGGUCCAAACUCCUACGGGAGGCAGCAGUGAGGAAUAUUGGUCAAUGGGCGAGAGCCUGAACCAGCCAAGUAGCGUGAAGGAUGACUGCCCUAUGGGUUGUAAACUUCUUUUAUAAAGGAAUAAAGUCGGGUAUGUAUACCCGUUUGCAUGUACUUUAUGAAUAAGGAUCGGCUAACUCCGUG